RNAcentral lists this ribosomal RNA (505 nucleotides) under uncultured bacterium. Its description in RNAcentral is "partial 16S ribosomal RNA". It matches the Rfam family "Bacterial small subunit ribosomal RNA", at positions 28 to 507 of the family's 1533-position model. The record is from RNAcentral.
GACGAACGCUGGCGGCGUGCCUAAUACAUGCAAGUAGAACGCACAGUUUAUACCGUAGCUUGCUACACCAUAGACUGUGAGUUGCGAACGGGUGAGUAACGCGUAGGUAACCUGCCUGGUAGCGGGGGAUAACUAUUGGAAACGAUAGCUAAUACCGCAUAAUAUUAAUUAUUGCAUGAUAAUUAAUUGAAAGGUGCAAUUGCAUCACUACCAGAUGGACCUGCGUUGUAUUAGCUAGUAGGUGAGGUAACGGCUCACCUAGGCGACGAUACAUAGCCGACCUGAGAGGGUGAUCGGCCCCACUGGGACUGAGACACGGCCCAGACUCCUACGGGAGGCAGCAGUAGGGAAUCUUCGGCAAUGGACGAAAGUCUGACCGAGCAACGCCGCGUGAGUGAAGAAGGUUUUCGGAUCGUAAAGCUCUGUUGUAAGAGAAGAACGGGUGUGAGAGUGGAAAGUUCACACUGUGACGGUAUCUUACCAGAAAGGGACGGCUAACUACGUG